This 381-nucleotide ribosomal RNA is filed under the name uncultured bacterium. RNAcentral describes it as "partial 16S ribosomal RNA". It matches the Rfam family "Bacterial small subunit ribosomal RNA", at positions 338 to 733 of the family's 1533-position model. The record is from RNAcentral.
CCUACGGGUGGCAGCAGUGGGGAAUAUUGGGCAAUGGGCGCAAGCCUGACCCAGCAACGCCGCGUGAAGGAAGAAGGCUUUCGGGUUGUAAACUUCUUUUCUCAGGGACGCAGAAAGUGACGGUACCUGAGGAAUAAGCCACGGCUAACUACGUGCCAGCAGCCGCGGUAAUACGUCGGUGGCAAGCGUUCUCCGGAUUUAUUGGGUGUAAAGGGCGUGUAGGCGGGAGCGCAAGUCAGAGGUGAAAACUCAGGGCUCAACCCUGCGCCUGCCUUUGAAACUGUGUGUCUUGAGUGCUGGAGAGGCAAUCGGAAUUCCGGGUGUAGCGGUGAAAUGCGUAGAUAUACGGAGGAACACCAGUGGCGAAGGCGGAUUGCCGGA